This 433-nucleotide ribosomal RNA is filed under the name uncultured bacterium. Its description in RNAcentral is "partial 16S ribosomal RNA". It matches the Rfam family "Bacterial small subunit ribosomal RNA", at positions 29 to 507 of the family's 1533-position model. The record is from RNAcentral.
AACGAACGCUGGCGGCAUGCCUAACACAUGCAAGUCGAACGAGACCUUCGGGUCUAGUGGCGCACGGGUGCGUAACGCGUGGGAACCUGCCCUUAGGUUCGGAAUAACUCCCCGAAAGGGGUGCUAAUACCGGAUAGUGUCUUCGGACCAAAGAUUUAUCGCCUUUGGAUGGGCCCGCGUUGGAUUAGCUAGUUGGUAGGGUAAAAGCCUACCAAGGCGACGAUCCAUAGCUGGUCUGAGAGGAUGAUCAGCCACACUGGGACUGAGACACGGCCCAGACUCCUACGGGAGGCAGCAGUGGGGAAUAUUGGACAAUGGGCGAAGGCCUGAUCCAGCAAUGCCGCGUGAGUGAUGAAGGCCUUAGGGUUGUAAAGCUCUUUUACCCGGGAUGAUAAUGACAGUACCGGGAGAAUAAGCUCCGGCUAACUCCGUG